GUCUCUUGUAGCUCAGUUGGUUAGAGCGCUGCACCGGAAUCGCAGGGCCGUAGGUUCAAUUCCUACCCGAGGACC
RNAcentral lists this transfer RNA (75 nucleotides) under Paramuricea clavata. RNAcentral's name for it is "tRNA-Ser". It matches the Rfam family "tRNA". Rfam says of the family: Transfer RNA (tRNA) molecules are approximately 80 nucleotides in length. Their secondary structure includes four short double-helical elements and three loops (D, anti-codon, and T loops). Lineage: Eukaryota; Metazoa; Cnidaria; Anthozoa; Malacalcyonacea; Plexauridae. The record is from RNAcentral.